CCCUAUUCCGAGAAGGCGCGUGGGCAGCGAGCGAGUUGCGCAGUUCUUUAAACCCGGCGCGUGGACUGAAGGAAUAUUUAACUUUAUUCAUGCAGUACUCCUAUAGAGACCGACAAGGAUUGUGCUUGCAAGCGCAUGCGAUUGUGGCUUGAUACAGUUACAAUAGGGUUUAUUAAUUCUUUUCAUCGUCUAGCAAAAACUGCAACAACCAUCUGGAAAGUGUUAAUUAGGAGAUUUAUUUAGCAAAGAAAAUAGGUAGUUCAAAGGGAGGUUGGGAAGGACCUAGCUGUGCUGUACCCAUGCCAGUCUGCUGCUAGUUGGAGCUACUGCAUUUCAAUGUGUUCUUCAAGAAGUUACAACACUCAAACAGCUAAAGCAACGCUGUGAUUCCCAAAUCAAAACGAAUUCACCUGAUCCUACCAAAGGCACAGCUGACAGAGGCAUCCGAGACUCUGGGGGUGAUUGGCAGACACUUUGCUCGCUUACUUUUUAUCCAGUUCUGAUUACUCCUAAUAAAACAUUACAUGAGAAGGUUUAGGUAAUCAUUUGAACCUGACAGAAAAUAAGACUUCUGAGGCCAUAGGCUGCUAUAAUCACUAAAAUACAUAAACUUCAAAACUGUACAAUGGAAAUAAAUUCACUAAAAUGAGGGUGACUCUAGCUAGAGGUACACAGACCACUGGACCACUGAAGUGCUCUUCAGAUCUGCGAUCCAAACAAUGGGCUCCAAUAAAACUACAUUGCAAAAAUGGGAAAGAAACGCAAUGGAAAGGGUAAAAAAGUGGGAAAGGCAGACCCUGAAAAAAAUUGUGGUAGAAAAAGUCCUGGACCAAUAGCCAGUGAACAAAAAGAAGCUGGUAAUGAAAAAGAUACAAAAAACCCUUACAUGACAGUGAGCCUGAAGAUAUCGGAUCAAGUGGGAGCAAAGCGUUGUGGCUACAGAUAUGAGACCUGGGCUGCAGACUGAUGUUUCCAUGACAUGGAAGGUGGAAGGCAGAUGAGCCCGGCUGGAUGCUGGCUGGAGGCAAAGGGGAAGUGUCCUCAAACUUAAUUGUUCUGAGUAAAGAACUGACCUGUCGUUCUUGUCCUUCUUGUCCAGAACAUGACCUUGCUAAUUGUUUGCACUUUUAAAUUUCUUUUAAUGUUUUAAUGUUUUGUUUAUUUAUUGUGUGUUUGUUUGCUCACCCACAGGCCAAAGCACAGGUGUGGAGAUCAGAAGACAACUUCUAGAGUUGGGUCUUUGCUUCCACCAUGUGGGCCCCAGGGAUGGGAUAAUGUCAUUGAGCAUAUACAUAUAUAUGCACAUGUAUUAUUGUAUAUAAUCUGGGUCUUGUUUUUUUAAUUACUAGUGUGAAAAGGUAACUACAUUCUAAUAAAG
This 1378-nucleotide long non-coding RNA is filed under the name Cricetulus griseus (Chinese hamster). RNAcentral describes it as "lncRNA (ENSCGRG00000024684.1)". Lineage: Eukaryota; Metazoa; Chordata; Mammalia; Rodentia; Cricetidae. The record is from RNAcentral.